RNAcentral lists this ribosomal RNA (207 nucleotides) under uncultured bacterium. RNAcentral's name for it is "partial 16S ribosomal RNA". It matches the Rfam family "Bacterial small subunit ribosomal RNA", at positions 1294 to 1500 of the family's 1533-position model. The record is from RNAcentral.
CGGAUUGCAGCCUGCAACUCGGCUGCAUGAAGCUGGAAUCGCUAGUAAUCGCGGAUCAGAAUGCCGCGGUGAAUACGUUCCCGGGUCUUGUACACACCGCCCGUCACACCAUGGGAGUCGGGAAUGCCCGAAGUCAGUGACCCAACCGAAAGGGGGGANCUGCCGAAGGCAGGCCUGGUAACUGGGGUGAAGUCGUAACAAGGUAAC